Long non-coding RNA from Pogoniulus pusillus (Red-fronted tinkerbird), 1071 nucleotides. RefSeq lists it as uncharacterized. Lineage: Eukaryota; Metazoa; Chordata; Aves; Piciformes; Lybiidae. The transcript is spliced from 3 exons. The record is from RefSeq and is a predicted model, not a curated record.
UUGCAAAGCCUGCACAGUUAACUUACUUUGAUACAUGCUGCCUCAGCUGCCUUCAGAACAUGCAAGACUGCUUGAAUUAGGUUCUGUGCGUUGUUCACGAGGAGCUCCAAAGAGGACUUGCUCUCUGCAGUAACUGCUUUUACCCUUCAAAGACAUUUUUAAAGGCUUUUACUGGAAGGACAUCAGACAGUGUGGGCAGAAACAGAAGACUGUACCCUGUGCUGUCAGAGCAGGCAAACUUGAAGAGGAGCAACAGGAAGAGCUCUCUACAACCACCUGAAGGGAGGUUGUGGCAAAAGGGCCUCUGGUAAAGGAGGUGCUGGGAGGACCACUCUGGUUCUGUCAAGACAAGAAUUGAAGAGAUUGAGGAAGAUUCAUGAAGCAUGCUGAUACCAGUGCUGAGAAACCUACAGCUCCAUGUUUCUGAAGCAGUUUUUGUGCAGAAUAUCCACUGGACAGGGGGGUCCUCCGAGAAGUCUGAGCUUCAGCUCUGCGUCCUGCAUUGAAGUAGUUCUGUGGAAACUCAGAGAGUAACCUAAGUAGCCAAAAACAAAAUAAAAAAGGCCUUCAGAUUGGAAUGAAUUCUCUCGUUCUGGCGAGAUCUUUAUACACGGCAGUUAACACAGGCGUGGGUAAGUGCCUUCAAUGUGGACUUUUAAGGACUGAUCCAGACCAAGAACUGGUGUUAGCUGUGUGCUGCUCAUGGAUGUCUAAUGAAGUGCUGGAACUGGAUCUUGCUCACAUUUCCUAUUUUAUGCAUGCCCAUCCCAGUGAUAGCUGACUUCCUAAUGGGGAUGUGCAUUUUUUCAGAUGACCAUAAAUGAAUCUACCUUUCAAAGUUACUUCUGUAACUGAGGGUUCCAGGUGCUUCCAUGGCAGCACAACUGUACAAGUUCCACCCUCUUCCAUGCUAUCCCCUUGUGAAGGUGCAAAAGCCAACUCACUCCAGCUCUGUUUAAAGAAGCUGCAGGACUCCUAAGCCUUCACAUUGCCUCAUACCCAACACAGAUCAUGGCUGUUACUUCCAAAAUGCUGAACAGCUCAAGGAAAGCUGCAAUAGGCUAUCUACAU